RNAcentral lists this long non-coding RNA (401 nucleotides) under Pan troglodytes (chimpanzee). Its description in RNAcentral is "long non-coding RNA NONPTRT005497". The record is from RNAcentral. Lineage: Eukaryota; Metazoa; Chordata; Mammalia; Primates; Hominidae.
GCAUGGGCACACAUGGAACAGGCUUUCCUCUGUGGCCAGGUGAGAAGCAGGUGGUGAGACACAGAGCAGUGCUGGGCUCUGCUUCUGAAGCCUCCAACCUUUCCUUCCCUAGGAAGCCCCAGAGAGAUUGGUGAGGGUGAUUUCCCAGGAAGACGCAGUGUGCUCUGACUUCUGUGACAGUGAGCAACGGGACCAGUGGAUGUCCAGAUGCUGGCAAUGAGACAUACUCUGGAGUCAGAAGACAGCGAAAAGAGAAGCAGAAGCCCCGGUGGCAAGAGUCUGAAGGAAGGAUGACUGUAGCCUGUGGAUUGUACUGCAGUAGGAAACUGUCCUAGCAAGGCUCCACCUUGCCCCAGCUUCAAGGUAUAUCGUCUCAAAAUGCAGGGGACUUCAGAUGAGUU